RNAcentral lists this small nucleolar RNA (95 nucleotides) under Metarhizium album ARSEF 1941. RNAcentral's name for it is "A. fumigatus snoRNA Afu_335". It matches the Rfam family "A. fumigatus snoRNA Afu_335". The record is from Rfam by way of RNAcentral. Lineage: Eukaryota; Fungi; Ascomycota; Sordariomycetes; Hypocreales; Clavicipitaceae.
CGCAAUGAUGAACCCCAUGAUAGGGACAGCUUAUACCUCGGUAUAUGAUGUGAAACCUGGGCGAAUAUUUUAGUAGAUGCUUCGAUUUUCUGAGC